GGCUCACAUGCAGUCAUAUCGCCAUAACAUGAUUGUAUAUCUCUUGCCUUUCUUCUUGGCAAAGGGAGGAAAAAAGGAGGAUAACUGUAGAGAGCGUAAUGUUUUUCAUAAUAUUACGUCAGUCAAAACAUGAGUCGUGAAAACUUAUGUGAUUCAAAUAAUUGGCAGAGAAGCUUGUUGAAGAACAGAGGAAGUUUGAUGCUGUGAUCUCUCUAGAGGUAAUAGAGCAUGUAGCAGAUCCUGCUGAGUUCUGUAAGUCACUCGCGGCAUUGACUAUUCCUGAGGGAGCUAUAGUGAUUUCAACUAUUAACCGUUCUAUGAGAGCUUAUGCUACUGCUAUCGUUGCUGCUGAGUACCUCCUCCGUUGGCUUCCGAAAGGUACACACCAGUGGUCGAGUUUCCUUACCCCUGAAGAGCUAGCAUUGAUCCUACAACGUUCUUCUAUCAGUGUCAAAGAGAUGGCUGGAUUUGUGUACAACCCCUUGACAGGAAGAUGGUCUCUUUCCGAUGAUGUUGGCGUGAAUUUUAUUGCUUUUGGAACGAAAAACAGCCAGUGAAUGAAUAUUCAUGAGAAAUAUCUCCUGCCAAAUGUUAACAGCUUUCGUGUUAGGUUUGUGUCUUAUACAUGAUUUUAAAUAAUAUGCUAAAUCUUUAUGGAAAAAAUAAA
Molecule: long non-coding RNA, 667 nt
Organism: Eucalyptus grandis
Lineage: Eukaryota; Viridiplantae; Streptophyta; Magnoliopsida; Myrtales; Myrtaceae
Exons: 4
Source: RefSeq, a predicted model, not a curated record